GGCCACCUUAGGGGGGCUUUACCAUAGGCAAAGUAAUACUUUGCCAUACAAGCAAACGGAAGACAGAAA
This 69-nucleotide non-coding RNA is filed under the name unclassified sequences. RNAcentral describes it as "L2-Alphaproteobacteria ribosomal protein leader". It matches the Rfam family "L2-Alphaproteobacteria ribosomal protein leader". The record is from RNAcentral.